UCACAGAAGAGAAAGGAACCCUCA
RNAcentral lists this non-coding RNA (24 nucleotides) under Rattus norvegicus (Norway rat). Lineage: Eukaryota; Metazoa; Chordata; Mammalia; Rodentia; Muridae. The record is from RNAcentral.